CCUACGGGAGGCAGCAGUGAGGAAUAUUGGUCAAUGGUCGGGAGACUGAACCAGCCAAGCCGCGUGAGGGAUGAAGGUACAGAGUAUCGUAAACCUCUUUUGUCAGGGAACAAAGGCGGGGACGCGUCCCCGGAUGAGUGUACCUGAAGAAAAAGCAUCGGCUAACUCCGUGCCAGCAGCCGCGGUAAUACGGAGGAUGCGAGCGUUAUCCGGAUUUAUUGGGUUUAAAGGGUGCGCAGGCGGUCUGUUAAGUCAGCGGUCAAAGCCCGGGGCUCAACCCCGGCCCGCCGUUGAAACUGGCAGUCUAGAGUUGGAGAGAGGUAUGCGGAAUGCGCGGGGUAGCGGUGAAAUGCAUAGAUAUCGCGCAGAACUCCGAUUGCGAAGGCAGCAUGCCGGCUCCACACUGACGCUGAGGCACGAAAGCGUGGGUAUCGAACAGGAUUAGAUACCCGUGUAGUC
RNAcentral lists this ribosomal RNA (459 nucleotides) under uncultured bacterium. Its description in RNAcentral is "partial 16S ribosomal RNA". It matches the Rfam family "Bacterial small subunit ribosomal RNA", at positions 338 to 795 of the family's 1533-position model. The record is from RNAcentral.